RNAcentral lists this ribosomal RNA (500 nucleotides) under uncultured bacterium. RNAcentral's name for it is "partial 16S ribosomal RNA". It matches the Rfam family "Bacterial small subunit ribosomal RNA", at positions 30 to 523 of the family's 1533-position model. The record is from RNAcentral.
AUUGAACGCUGGCGGCAUGCCUUACACAUGCAAGUCGAACGGCAGCGCGGGAGCAAUCCUGGCGGCGAGUGGCGAACGGGUGAGUAACAUAUCGGAACGUAUCCAAUAAUGGGGGAUAACGAGUCGAAAGAUUCGCUAAUACCGCAUACGCCCUACGGGGGAAAGCUGGGGACCUUCGGGCCUGGCGUUAAUGGAGCGGCCGAUAUCUUAUUAGCUAGUUGGUGAGGUAAAGGCUCACCAAGGCGACGAUCAGUAGCUGGUCUGAGAGGACGACCAGCCACACUGGAACUGAGACACGGUCCAGCCUCCUACGGGAGGCAGCAGGGGGGAAUUUUGGACAAUGGGCGCAAGCCUGAUCCAGCCAUUCCGCGUGAGUGAAGAAGGCCUUCGGGUUGAAAAGCUCUUUCGCAAGGGAAGAAAACUUAGCCACUAACAUUGGUUGAGGUUGACGGUACCUUGAUAAGAAGCACCGGCUAACUACGUGCCAGCCGCCGCCGUAA